This 511-nucleotide ribosomal RNA is filed under the name Phymatopsallus sp. WCW-2003e. Its description in RNAcentral is "partial 16S ribosomal RNA". It matches the Rfam family "Bacterial large subunit ribosomal RNA", at positions 1829 to 2600 of the family's 2925-position model. Lineage: Eukaryota; Metazoa; Arthropoda; Insecta; Hemiptera; Miridae. The record is from RNAcentral.
GUUCUUUUGUUUAUAUAAAAGAUCUGGCCUGCCCAAUGAUUAAUUUUUAAUGGCUGCAGUAUUUUGACUGUACAAAGGUAGCAUAAUCAUUUGUCUUUUAAUUGAAGUCUGGUAUGAAUGGUUGGAUGAGAAAUUUACUUUCUUUAUUAUAUAUAUAAAAUUUGAUUUACCAAUUAAAAAGUUGGUAUUUAUUUAGAGGACGAGAAGACCCUAUAGAACUUUACUCUCAUUUAGGUGAAAAAUUUAUGGCACAUGACUGUUUUUCAUUUAAAAGGGAGUUUCAUUGGGGUGAUGAAAAAAAAUUAAUAACUUUUUUUAAAAUUUUCACUUUUUUGUGUUCUAUUGAUCCUUUAUUAUGGAUAAUAAGAUUAAGUUACCUUAGGGAUAACAGCGUUAUUAUUUUGGAGAGUUCAUAUCGAUAAAAUAGUUUGCGACCUCGAUGUUGGAUUAAAAUUAGGUUCAGGAGCAGAAUUUUGUUUUUCUAGGUCUGUUCGACCUUUAAAUUUUUACA